GCCGCUGUGUUGGAAUAGGUAGACAAACUUGACUCAAAAUCAAGCGCUGAAAAGCAUGCCAGUUCGAGUCUGGCCAGCGGCACCA
This 85-nucleotide transfer RNA is filed under the name Acholeplasmataceae bacterium. Its description in RNAcentral is "tRNA-Leu". It matches the Rfam family "tRNA". From Rfam's summary of the family: Transfer RNA (tRNA) molecules are approximately 80 nucleotides in length. Their secondary structure includes four short double-helical elements and three loops (D, anti-codon, and T loops). Further hydrogen bonds mediate the characteristic L-shaped molecular structure. tRNAs have two regions of fundamental functional importance: the anti-codon, which is responsible for specific mRNA codon recognition, and the 3' end, to which the tRNAs corresponding amino acid is attached (by aminoacyl-tRNA synthetases). tRNAs cope with the degeneracy of the genetic code in two manners: having more than one tRNA (with a specific anti-codon) for a particular amino acid; and 'wobble' base-pairing, i.e. permitting non-standard base-pairing at the 3rd anti-codon position. Lineage: Bacteria; Bacillati; Mycoplasmatota; Mollicutes; Acholeplasmatales; Acholeplasmataceae. The record is from RNAcentral. RNAcentral also lists the same sequence under 2 other names.